This 253-nucleotide ribosomal RNA is filed under the name uncultured bacterium. RNAcentral's name for it is "partial 16S ribosomal RNA". It matches the Rfam family "Bacterial small subunit ribosomal RNA", at positions 524 to 776 of the family's 1533-position model. The record is from RNAcentral.
GACGAACCGAGCGAACGUUGUUCGGAAUCACUGGGCUUAAAGGGCGCGUAGGCGGGCCGCCAGGUCAGGGGUGAAAGCCUCCAGCUCAACUGGAGAAGUGCCUCUGAUACUGGCGGCCUCGAGGGAGAUAGGGGCGUGCGGAACUUCCGGUGGAGCGGUGAAAUGCGUAGAUAUCGGAAGGAACACCAGUGGCGAAGGCGGCUCACUGGCCCGAUACUGACGCUGAGGCACGAAAGCGUGGGGAGCAAACAGG